This is a long non-coding RNA of Carassius gibelio (silver crucian carp), 207 nucleotides long. RefSeq lists it as uncharacterized. NCBI's taxonomy places the organism in Eukaryota, Metazoa, Chordata, Actinopteri, Cypriniformes, Cyprinidae. The transcript is spliced from 3 exons. The record is from RefSeq and is a predicted model, not a curated record.
CUACAACAUGAGGGCACUGGGACUGAUUCUUAUAACUCUGCUGCUGCUGACAGCGGGUGAAGUUUGAACUUUUCCUGAAAGCUGAUGACACAGAUGUACAGGGCUGGACUUGCGGAUACCGAGGGCUGUGCAGGAAGCACUGCUACGCGCAGGAGUACAUGAUUGGCUACCAUGGUUGCCCUCGAAGAUACAGGUGCUGUGCUUUGC